Molecule: ribosomal RNA, 253 nt
Filed under: uncultured bacterium
Lineage: Bacteria
Description: partial 16S ribosomal RNA
Rfam family: Bacterial small subunit ribosomal RNA
Source: RNAcentral
UACGGAGGGUGCAAGCGUUAUCCGGAUUCACUGGGUUUAAAGGGUGCGUAGGUGGGUUGGUAAGUCAGUGGUGAAAUCUCCAGGCUUAACUUGGAAACUGCUAUUGAUACUAUCAAUCUUGAAUACCGUGGAGGUCAGCGGAAUAUGUCAUGUAGCGGUGAAAUGCUUAGAUAUGACAUAGAACACCAAUUGCGAAGGCAGCUGGCUACACGAAUAUUGACACUGAUGCACGAAAGCGUGGGGAUCAAACAGG